CUGCUGCCUCCCGUAGGAGUCUGGUCCGUGUCUCAGUACCAGUGUGGGGGGCCUUCCUCUCAGAACCCCUACGCAUCGUCGCCUCGGUGGGCCGUUACCCCGCCGACUAGCUAAUGCGCCGCACGCCCAUCCGUGGCCGGGAUUGCUCCCUUUGGCGGCCUUGGGAUGUCCCUAGGCCGCGUUACGCGGUAUUAGACGGGGUUUCCCCCGCUUAUCCCCCUGCCACGGGCAGGUUGCAUACGUGUUACUCACCCGUGCGCCGGUCGCCGGCAACGGCAGG
This 280-nucleotide ribosomal RNA is filed under the name uncultured bacterium. RNAcentral's name for it is "partial 16S ribosomal RNA". The record is from RNAcentral.